RNAcentral lists this unclassified non-coding RNA (763 nucleotides) under Hevea brasiliensis (rubber tree). Lineage: Eukaryota; Viridiplantae; Streptophyta; Magnoliopsida; Malpighiales; Euphorbiaceae. The record is from RNAcentral.
AGCUACAGAGAAAGAAAAAUAUCAUGAAUUGCUGGUAUCUGGACCACCAGAUUAUUCUGAUAUUCAAAUUUAAUUUAUUUUACUUGAGUGGUAUAUAUUUAAGGCAAUUAAAAGCCUUUACUAAGCAUGAGACUCUGCCACAAAGUAAAAUUUUCUUUGGGUUGCUGAAAAUGUUGGAGGGAAAAGCGGUAGUGCGAGAGACUGACAUGCCAGAGUUGAUGCAGAGCCAUGUGAUGGAACUAGCUUACCAAGCUCUUGAUUUACAUGAGGUCUCUGAUUGCCAAUCUAUUGCUCGUUACAUCAAACAGAAGUUUGAUGAAGCUCAUGGACCUGCAUGGCAUUGUGUGGUUGGCAAAGACUUUGGUUCUUGCAUCACCCAUUUAUGUGGAAGUUUCAUUUUCUUCCGGGUGGAGAUGUUGGAGUUUCUGAUCUUUAAAGAUGGCAAGGACUUCACUGAAAGCAAGGAAGCUAUUGGGAUGGUGCAGAAGCCCAAGAAAUGUGACUAAUAUAUAUAAAUUCACAUUGAAAAUAAGCCUCUCUUACUAUGCCUAAAAGGAAAACCUCUUCAGUACUGCUUCUGCUUCAACAAGUUCAAAAAAUUCAGUGGCUAGCAUAAAUAGGAUUAACAUAUAUGUUCAGCAUGUUCAAUCUUGGAAGAAUAAUAAUUGUUCUAGACUAGAUUAAUUACUUAAAAAUCUCUCUCUCAUUUUCUUGUCUGUCUGAAAUUGUUGGAUUUGAAGGAAGAAAAAAACUAAGAACAGUU